GUAACUAUUUGUGUCAAACCAUGAAAAACAAAGGAUCAUCAACAAGAGGACAAAAACGUAGAAUUGCAUUGAAGAAUCAACAAUAAAACCAUAAGAGGAACUACAAAGACAAAGGGACAAAACCUACCCUCCACCGCGGCCCAACCGUCUUCCAGCUUUGUCAAAUGCAAGUCC
Molecule: long non-coding RNA, 174 nt
Organism: Nicotiana attenuata
Lineage: Eukaryota; Viridiplantae; Streptophyta; Magnoliopsida; Solanales; Solanaceae
Exons: 2
Source: RefSeq, a predicted model, not a curated record